UACGUAGGGGGCAAGCGUUGUCCGGAUUUAUUGGGCGUAAAGAGCGUGUAGGCGGCUGGGUAGGUCCGUUGUGAAAACUCGAGGCUCAACCUCGAGACGCCGAUGGAAACCCUCCAGCUAGAGUCCGGAAGAGGAGAGUGGAAUUCCUGGUGUAGCGGUGAAAUGCGCAGAUAUCAGGAAGAACACCCGUGGCUAAGGCGGCUCUCUAGUACGGUACUGACGCUGAGACGCGAAAGCGUGGGGAGCAAACAGG
This 253-nucleotide ribosomal RNA is filed under the name uncultured bacterium. RNAcentral's name for it is "partial 16S ribosomal RNA". It matches the Rfam family "Bacterial small subunit ribosomal RNA", at positions 524 to 776 of the family's 1533-position model. The record is from RNAcentral.